CAGUCGCCGCGGUAAUACGUAGGUCCCGAGCGUUGUCCGGAUUUAUUGGGCGUAAAGCGAGCGCAGGCGGUUAGAUAAGUCUGAAGUUAAAGGCUGUGGCUUAACCAUAGUACGCUUUGGAAACUGUUUAACUUGAGUGCAAGAGGGGAGAGUGGAAUUCCAUGUGUAGCGGUGAAAUGCGUAGAUAUAUGGAGGAACACCGGUGGCGAAAGCGGCUCUCUGGCUUGUAACUGACGCUGAGGCUCGAAAGCGUGGGGAGCAAACAGGAUUAGAGACCCCAGUAGUCCCUGUCUCUUAUACA
RNAcentral lists this ribosomal RNA (301 nucleotides) under uncultured bacterium. RNAcentral describes it as "partial 16S ribosomal RNA". It matches the Rfam family "Bacterial small subunit ribosomal RNA", at positions 509 to 808 of the family's 1533-position model. The record is from RNAcentral.